Molecule: long non-coding RNA, 257 nt
Filed under: Elaeis guineensis (African oil palm)
Lineage: Eukaryota; Viridiplantae; Streptophyta; Magnoliopsida; Arecales; Arecaceae
Description: long non-coding RNA (EGUI_LNC038355)
Source: RNAcentral
UUCCUUAGCACUAGUGAGCAAAAAGCCAAAAUAUAGAAAAAGCAUAUGCUCAAAGGCCUUCGGUCGAUGCAGUCAUUUAAAACUAGUUAUUUGAUUUUUAGGCAUGUGUCAGUUAGCCGUUCAACUCCGAACCAUCGUCAGAAUCACAAUUGACAAAGUGUCCAAUCAUCGUAUAGGAAAUCUUGCCACUCAUAAUGUCACUUUGAGAAAUACGGAUGCUAUCACAUCUCUCAUAAUAUAGUGUCCAAAAGUUUCCU